GCAAGUCGAGGGGCAGCAUGGUCUUAGCUUGCUAAGGCCGAUGGCGACCGGCGCACGGGUGAGUAACACGUAUCCAACCUGCCGUCUACUCUUGGACAGCCUUCUGAAAGGAAGAUUAAUACAAGAUGGCAUCAUGAGUCCGCAUGUUCACAUGAUUAAAGGUAUUCCGGUAGACGAUGGGGAUGCGUUCCAUUAGAUAGUAGGCGGGGUAACGGCCCACCUAGUCUUCGAUGGAUAGGGGUUCUGAGAGGAAGGUCCCCCACAUUGGAACUGAGACACGGUCCAAACUCCUACGGGAGGCAGCAGUGAGGAAUAUUGGUCAAUGGGCGAGAGCCUGAACCAGCCAAGUAGCGUGAAGGAUGACUGCCCUAUGGGUUGUAAACUUCUUUUAUAAAGGAAUAAAGUCGGGUAUGGAUACCCGUUUGCAUGUACUUUAUGAAUAAGGAUCGGCUAACUCCGUGCCAGCAGCCGCGGUAAUACGGAGGAUCCGAGCGUUAUCCGGAUUUAUUGGGUUUAAAGGGAGCGUAGAUGGAUGUUUAAGUCAGUUGUGAAAGUUUGCGGCUCAACCGUAAAAUUGCAGUUGAUACUGGAUAUCUUGAGUGCAGUUGAGGCAGGCGGAAUUCGUGGUGUAGCGGUGAAAUGCUUAGAUAUCACGAAGAACUCCGAUUGCGAAGGCAGCCUGCUAAGCUGCAACUGACAUUGAGGCUCGAAAGUGUGGGUAUCAAACAGG
This 730-nucleotide ribosomal RNA is filed under the name uncultured Bacteroidales bacterium. Its description in RNAcentral is "bacterial SSU rRNA". It matches the Rfam family "Bacterial small subunit ribosomal RNA", at positions 57 to 776 of the family's 1533-position model. The record is from RNAcentral. Lineage: Bacteria; Pseudomonadati; Bacteroidota; Bacteroidia; Bacteroidales.